RNAcentral lists this long non-coding RNA (4402 nucleotides) under Nicotiana tabacum (common tobacco). Its description in RNAcentral is "long non-coding RNA (NTAB_LNC006078)". Lineage: Eukaryota; Viridiplantae; Streptophyta; Magnoliopsida; Solanales; Solanaceae. The record is from RNAcentral.
UCUCUCAUCACCAGCAAUAUACCCCGAAAUGGUUUAGCAGAGAAGCCAUUUUUGUGUGGACAGCCUCUUACUUUGAUUCAGACUAAUGCUAAGAGAUACCAGCCAAAUUCCAAGAACCUCAAAUGCUUUCGUUUCAGAGCUCAGAUUUCAGGUAAUGCAAUUUUAGUUAGAGUUUAUGUUUUACGUAUGGGCUAAAAAAAUUUACAGCUGAUUAUCUUGCGUAAUUGCUUGUACUCCUACUGUCCUACAUACUGAAGAAAUAUAGCUAAUGUAGGUAAUUUGGGAUAGACCAAAUUCUCUAAUUCUCAAACAUGAAGUAUUAAUUUAGAAGGGAAAAUUGCAAUCAUUAUCUAUUUCCUUCCAAACAUGUCACCUUUUUAGCUCCAAAUGUUUUUCUGGAGUCAACUAAAUACAAUUACUAAUCAGAUUCUAGAUUUUUUCAGAAGGGGAGCCUUGGCGUAACUGGUAAAGUUGUUGUCAUGGGACCAGGAGGUCACGCGUUUGAGCCGUGGAAACAGCCUCUGGCAGAAAUGCGUACAAUAGACCUUUGUGGUUCGGCCCUUACCCGACCUUGUGCAUAGCAGGAGCUUAGUGCACCGGGCUGCCCUUUAUUCUAGAUUUUUUCUCCUUGCCCUCUGUAAUUUGGCUCAAAUUACUGCUAACAGUGGAAAGGAAAGAAUUUAAACGUUUGAUAAUAACUAAAAUUUAGCUAGAACUGGCAAUGAGGUAAACUUGCAAAUGGUGGAUGGUCUCAUUCAGGAAAGCGGUACCUGAAUCAAAAGCAGCUUAAUGCUAAUAGUAGAGUGCUAAGUUAUUCCUAUUAGGCAUCUUCUAAAAAUCGAGCAUAUCUAGAGGUAGAAACUCUUCAAUGUAUAAACUUCAAAUAGAUGAAUUGUUGGGAUGUAUGAUUAUGCCUUUUCUGGAUGAUCUUCUAUUAGCUUUUAUAAGCAUGAUUUGGAGAGCUUUUAAAGGAUGAUUUCCCUGUGGAACCAUCUCUAGAAGGAAACAAAUUUAUUCAUUUCUCUAUGAUGUGGUUUAGAUGUACUCAACAAAUAUGCAACCUUCUAAGUAGUGUUAUAGUUAUAUGGAUAUCUGAAUGUGCAGCAAAAGUUAGCUCAUUGGAACCUGCAAAAGAUGUCAAAUCAAAAGAUGGAAAUCUUGUUUUUGUUGCUGGUGCAACUGGUAAAGUUGGUUCUCGGACUGUAAGGUUGUGUUUCUUUUUUUUUUCAACAUUGACUUCAGAUUAUAUAAAUCCAAUAAACCUGCUAUUAAGUCUGUUUUGCUGAAAGACCAGAAUGUUUUCAGGGAGCUUUUGAAAUUAGGUUUUAAAGUUCGAGCUGGCGUUCGGAGUGCUCAAAGAGCUCAACCUCUUGUCAAAGUAAGAGUUCUGACUAGUGGUAACGUAUUAAAUUUACGGGUCAAUGUGUGUCUAGAUCCUUUAUGGCUCAUCAAUUGUUCCUUGUUACAGAGUGUUGAGCAGAUGAAACUUGAGAAUGCUGCGGAUGGAAGAGCAAAAGGUAAGAUUGAUGUGGAAAGGACAACUGGUAACUGGUUAGGUAUUAGCAGUUUAGAGUAAAUGUACUUCUUUGGAAAAUCACAUGUUACAUUUGGUCUUUAGCCCAGCUAUAGAGAAGCUUGAAAUUGUGGAAUGCGAUUUGGAGAAAAUUGAUCGGAUUCGGCCUGCACUGGGCAAUGCAUCAAUCGUUAUAUGUUGCAUUGGUGCCAGUGAGAAGGAGAUCUUUGAUGUUACUGGACCAUAUCGAAUUGAUUACCAAGCCACUAAGAACCUUAUUGAUGCAGGUAAAAAGAGUUCUGAUUUUAGUUGUAGACUUCCUCACUACAAUGCCAAUAAGUUGGUCAUACUGUUAAAGGAAAUGUUAUACUAGAUAAUUUCUCCUCAUGUUGUCCUCUUCAGUUAGUUCCUAUAGAAGCAAUUGGUAUUGACUAAAUUCAGAUGUGCUGCCAAUAAAUUACUCAAACUAACAUAGAAUGAGUGACAGAAAGUUGAUAUCUUUCUCCGUGCAGCAACUGUUGCAAAAGUUGACCACUUUAUCUUGCUCACAUCUUUGGGAACAAACAAGGUCGGUUUUCCUGCAGCCAUUCUCAAGUAAGUCUGGGAGUCUUCUGAUUCACAUGAGUCCCCGAAAGAUGUAUUUGGCUUUAAAUAUGAAUAUGAUUCUCCUUUUUCUUUUGGUAUGGAAGUUUGUUUUGGGGAGUCCUUGUUUGGAAAAGGAAAGCAGAAGAGGCACUGCUCGCCAGUGGGCUUCCUUAUACAGUGAGUUCUUCUAAUUUAUGCAUUGGAAAGAUUACAUAAGUGAGGUGAUCUGGAUUUGUGUGAAAUGCAAUAUGGUGCUUAUAUUUCCCCUGCUAUUUCAGAUUGUGAGACCUGGAGGAAUGGAACGUCCUACUGAUUCUUACAAAGAAACUCAUAAUAUUACUCUUUCGGAGGAAGAUACUUUAUUUGGUGGUCAAGUGUCGAACCUUCAGGUUUUAACAAAUCUUUAUUUGCAUUUCUUCAAGCAUAUACCUCUCUGGUGUAGGUUGAUAUGUUUUCUGCUUUAACAAAAUUUGACAUGACAUGAAUAUACAUCGCAACUUGAAAAUUCAAUUGGCUUGUGAUGUAUAAUAGUUUCCAUAAAUAAUUUUCAUGUUGAGAAUUGCACUAGCUACUGUUUUAUAUUCUGCUCAGUGAAAAGUUCUUUUUUUUUUUUUACUGUGUCAAGUUUCAACUAGAAGUAUGGAUUGACUGCUAAGGUUAAAAUGUUUAUUUUUGUGGUUCAAAUUUCACAAGCACAGUAGUCCUACAGGACAUAGCAAAUAAUCCCAUUGGCUAAGUGGAUGACGAGCGAUUAUGAGUUAAAAACCACAUGUAUUUGUUAUCUCUAGUGUCAUGCAACAGCAUUUUAACUAGGCUGUUAGGGGGUAGCUCCUCUUAUAAGCGGUAUUUACUUUCUUGAACAUUCAUAAGUGGCACGCACGAGAUCUAUUGACAUUAAGAAAAGUGGUCGAGGUAUUUGCUAAGUCUCACAAAUUUUAUUUACAUAAAGCGCUAGCAAUUUACAGUUAGCAACUAAGACAACUCUGAUUGAUAAAAUCAGGUGGCAGAACUAUUGGCGGUAAUGGCCAAAAACCGCAGCCUUUCGUAUUGUAAAGUGGUUGAAGUAAUUGCAGAAACAACAGCACCAUUGACCCCCAUGGAGGACCUUCUUGCGAAAAUUCCUCCCCAACGUGUUGAGGUUUCACCAGCCAAGGUAAUUUCAUUUAGUUCUUCAUGAAAAACAGAGAAAUGACUUGCCCAAAUUGGCUUUUAUACAUGAAUAUGAUAUUGAGGCAUUCAAUAAUAAGUAUCAAAUAUUACUUCAUUUUUCUUGUUUCGGAAGGAAUCUUCUGUUUUAACGUUAUUACGCCGAUUAUUUCUAGGAAGCUGGUGAUUUACAAAAGCCUGCAGCUUCAAGCAGUAUUACGUCUGAGAUCCCAAGCACCUCGAUUGAGAAAGAACCUGCUGAAACAAAGUUGAAGGCAGCAGCACCACUCUCUCCAUAUGCUGCGUAAGCUUGAUGGUUUUUAUUUAUUUUCUGUUAGGUGUAUGUUUCCUCUUCAAAAACCUAGAUGCUUUUUUUCUAUUUCUGGAAACUAUGAAGAUUUAAAGCCACCAACAUCUCCUACUCCAACCCCUAGUGUCGGAACAGGUUCGACCAAAGCAGGGUCAACAGUGGUAGCAAAUGAUUCAACACCACCUUCUUCCGAAAUUAAUUCUUCUGAAAGCUCAAUCCCUGAAACUGAUAGCAAAACUCAAGUGACAGACAAAAAGAAAACAACUCCUUCCUCACCUUAUAUAUUGUAAGCUCAUUUGCAGCCUCUUCUCCUUAAUGUUCACUGUUGUUGACUUGAUACAAAAUGCAAAGACUAGACAUCCCAGAAUCUUUCACUGAAUGUCACUGAAAUCUUACAUAUUGUUACUGUUAUUAUUGCAGUUAUGAAGAUCUUAAACCGCCUACAUCUCCUGCGCCAAAUCCUCCCAGUGGUAGCCGAGUAAGUGCAAGUGGAGCUGAAGAUGGCAAAACCACUACGUCAGCUUCUGUUGUCGUUGACGGUACUUCUGACAAAGCAGAAUUGCUGACUGCAAGGCCUUUGUCUCCAUACACUGCGUUAAGUCAUUCCUGAGUUAAUCCUAUUAUUUAUGCGCAAGUACAGAUCGAGUAGCUUAUUUGCUGACUGAUACAAUAUUGGCAGUUAUGAAGAUUUAAAGCCACCUGCAUCUCCAAGUCCAACACCAAGUGGUCCGAAAGCCUCAAUAUCAGCAGAAACUAUAUCACAACUUGCUGGAGGCAAUGACAUCUCACCGAGCAUCACUACCAUUUCAGCUGAGAAGGAUCCUUCGCAUACUGUAGCUUUUUGUCAU